RNAcentral lists this ribosomal RNA (254 nucleotides) under uncultured bacterium. RNAcentral describes it as "partial 16S ribosomal RNA". It matches the Rfam family "Bacterial small subunit ribosomal RNA", at positions 524 to 776 of the family's 1533-position model. The record is from RNAcentral.
UACGGGGGGGGUAAGCGUUGUUCGGAUUUACUGGGCGUAAAGGGCGCGUAGGCGGCCACCGCAAGUCGACUGUGAAAUCUCUGGGCUUAACCCAGAACGGUCAGCCGAUACUGCGGGGCUAGAGUGCAGAAGGGGCAACUGGAAUUCUCGGUGUAGCGGUGAAAUGCGUAGAUAUCGUGAGGAACACCAGAGGCGAAGGCGGUUACCUGGACAGUUACUGACGCUCAGGCACGAAAGCAUGGGGAGCAAAAGGG